This is a non-coding RNA of Mycena galericulata, 92 nucleotides long. Lineage: Eukaryota; Fungi; Basidiomycota; Agaricomycetes; Agaricales; Mycenaceae. The record is from the annotation of a GenBank genome assembly.
GAUUUGGUAGCACAAUGGUAGUGCAUCUGCAUCAAUUGUAGUGCCGCUAGGAAGUUACGCAGAAGAUCCCGGUUCGACUCCGGACUCGGUCG